UGAGGAAUAUUGGUCAAUGGGCGCGAGCCUGAACCAGCCACGUCGCGUGAGGGAUGACGGCCCUACGGGUUGUAAACCUCUUUUGUCGGGGAGCAAAUUCCGUUACGUGUAACGGAGUCGAGAGUACCCGAAGAAAAAGCAUCGGCUAACUCCGUGCCAGCAGCCGCGGUAAUACGGAGGAUGCGAGCGUUAUCCGGAUUUAUUGGGUUUAAAGGGUGCGUAGGCGGGCUGUCAAGUCAGCGGUAAAAUACGGGGGCUCAACCUCCGCCCGCCGUUGAAACUGACGGUCUUGAGUGGGCGAGAAGUAUGCGGAAUGCGUGGUGUAGCGGUGAAAUGCAUAGAUAUCACGCAGAACUCCGAUUGCGAAGGCAGCAUACCGGCGCCCAACUGACGCUGAAGCACGAAAGCGUGGGUAUCGAACAGGAUUAGAUACC
Molecule: ribosomal RNA, 434 nt
Filed under: uncultured bacterium
Lineage: Bacteria
Description: bacterial SSU rRNA
Rfam family: Bacterial small subunit ribosomal RNA
Source: RNAcentral